This 478-nucleotide ribosomal RNA is filed under the name uncultured bacterium. RNAcentral describes it as "partial 16S ribosomal RNA". It matches the Rfam family "Bacterial small subunit ribosomal RNA", at positions 28 to 523 of the family's 1533-position model. The record is from RNAcentral.
GACGAACGCUGGCGGCGUGCUUAACACAUGCAAGUCGAACGGUAAGGCCCUUCGGGGUACACGAGUGGCGAACGGGUGAGUAACACGUGGGUGAUCUGCCCUGCACUUCGGGAUAAGCCUGGGAAACUGGGUCUAAUACCGGCUAGGACUCCUGGCUUCAUGGUUGGGGGUGGAAAGCUUUUGCGGGGUGGGAUGGGCCCGCGGCCUAUCAGCUUGUUGGUGGGGUAAUGGCCUACCAAGGCGACGACGGGUAGCCGGCCUGAGAGGGUGACUGGUCACACUGGGACUGAGAUACGGCCCAGACUCCUACGGGAGGCAGCAGUGGGGAAUAUUGCACAAUGGGCGCAAGCCUGAUGCAGCGACGCCGCGUGAGGGAUGACGGCCUUCGGGUUGUAAACCUCUUUCAGCUAUGACGAAGCGCAAGUGACGGUAGUAGCAGAAGAAGGACCGGCCAACUACGUGCCAGCCGCCGCAGUAA